UAAAGGGGGCCUCCAGGAAAUCUGGAGAGGGACUUUUUACAAGGGCAUGCAGUGACAGGACAAGGGGGAAUGGCUUUAAUUUGAAAGAGGGUAGAUUUAGAUCAGACAUUAGGAAGAAAUUCUUCCCUAUGAGGGUGCUGAGGCACUGGCACAGAUUGCCCAGAGAAGCUGUGGCUGCCCCAUCCCUGGCAGUAUUCAAGGCCAGGUUGGACAAGGCUUGGAGCAACCUGCUCUGGUGGAAGGUGUCCCUCCCAACCCAAACCAGUCUGGGAUUCUGUGAUU
Neopsephotus bourkii (Bourke's parrot) is the source of this 282-nucleotide long non-coding RNA. RefSeq lists it as uncharacterized. NCBI's taxonomy places the organism in Eukaryota, Metazoa, Chordata, Aves, Psittaciformes, Psittacidae. The transcript is spliced from 3 exons. The record is from RefSeq and is a predicted model, not a curated record.